AUUGAACGCUGGCGGCAGGCCUAACACAUGCAAGUCGAACGCAGUGGGGACGGGUGAGUAACACGUGGGUAACCUCCCAUCAGAGGGGAUAACACUUGGAAACAGGUGCUAAACAGAUACUGGUGGAUGGACCCGCGGUGCAUUAGCUGGUUGGUGAGGUAACGGCUCACCAGGGCCACGAUGCAUAGCCGACCGGAGGGGGUGAGCGGCCACACUGGGACUGUGACACGGCGCAGACUCCUACGGGAGUCAGCAGUAGGGAAUCGUCGGCAAGGGACGAAAGUCUGACCGAGCAAUGCCGCGUGAGUGAAGAAGGUUUUCGGAUCGUAAAACUCUGUUGUUAGAGAAGCGGUAGCUAACCAGAAAGCCACGGCUAACUGCGUGCCAGCCGCCGCGGUAAUAC
Molecule: ribosomal RNA, 403 nt
Filed under: uncultured bacterium
Lineage: Bacteria
Description: partial 16S ribosomal RNA
Rfam family: Bacterial small subunit ribosomal RNA
Source: RNAcentral